AAAGACUUUAUCUGGUAAGAGCCAAUAUUAAAAUGUUAUCAAAAUGUUUUCACCAAUUAGCCAGGGAGUCUUCCCAGGACCAGUCCAGGCCUGCCUUCUGAGUAUCAAGAACAUUUUGCAUUGUACUGUCAGACCUGUUUUAGUGUCGCAGCACUGUGGAAGCCGAAUAAGGAGAAUCAG
Molecule: long non-coding RNA, 180 nt
Filed under: Mus spicilegus (steppe mouse)
Lineage: Eukaryota; Metazoa; Chordata; Mammalia; Rodentia; Muridae
Description: lncRNA (ENSMSIG00000010141.1)
Source: RNAcentral